GAAGACGACGAGGUAGAUAGGACAGAGGUGGAAGUGUGGUAACACAUGGAGCUGACUGUUACUAAUAGGUCGAGGGCAUAACCAAG
Molecule: ribosomal RNA, 86 nt
Filed under: Dorea formicigenerans
Lineage: Bacteria; Bacillati; Bacillota; Clostridia; Lachnospirales; Lachnospiraceae
Description: partial 23S ribosomal RNA
Rfam family: Bacterial large subunit ribosomal RNA
Source: RNAcentral